Molecule: non-coding RNA, 270 nt
Organism: Vicia faba (fava bean)
Lineage: Eukaryota; Viridiplantae; Streptophyta; Magnoliopsida; Fabales; Fabaceae
Source: the annotation of a GenBank genome assembly
AUGAUUGCUCUUUUGCAUCUUAACAUCUUAGGGAGGUUGAGGAAUUUUGGACAACUUGGUUUGGCAUUCUAUUGUUACGGGGAUUUGAUUUCUCUUAGUAAGGCACAAGAUGUAAUAAAUUGGCCGAAUAGCUCCUUUGGUAUUAGGUGGAAGCUCAAACUGUCAUGUUUCAUAUUGGGUACAAGUACUUGCAAAUUGGCUGGAAGUUUGUGUCCAUUAACAUCAUGUCUUCAGAGUGAGUGUUAUAGGGGAGACGGAGACAACCUAUGA